Bacillus coahuilensis p1.1.43 is the source of this 115-nucleotide non-coding RNA. NCBI's taxonomy places the organism in Bacteria, Bacillati, Bacillota, Bacilli, Caryophanales, Bacillaceae. The record is from Rfam.
AUUACCUUUAAUUAAGUCCAGAGAGGCUUUAAAAGGACCUAACAUCAUGUUUAAUUACUAUUAUGAUGCUUGGCAUCCUUAUGCCCUCUCGGAACUAUCGAGAGGGCUUUUGUUU